UGCGUGUGAGACGUGUUAAGUGCAGUGGGAGAGGGAGACGCACUCGUAUGGGAAUUUGCAAGCAUUUUCGAUCAUCCCGUGACAUACAAGGAUAUAUGUAGGCUGGUUUUGAACCGUGCAACUGAGAUCUUUGAAAGGUUGUCACUGCCUUUGUGGUGAUUGAGGAGGUCAUCAUUAUACAACGCCAACGAUCAACAUUGCAGCGAUCAAACUGAGCACAAUAACAACUGUGAUCACUGAAGACUUCAAAGAGUGAAAUAUUUCAUCUGUAAAACAAAACUGAGGCUGUUAGUUCUUCAUUUAUGAGUAUAAAUCUGUUAUCAGAUAUAAUCUACAGUCUCUCUAUUGUUAGUGAAUGUGUACUGGAAGUUAAUGUCAGUCCUAUGAGAAUGAGAAUAAUAAUAACAUUUGUUUGUGUGUUUUAGGAAUUCCAAAUUUGUUUGCAAAGCAUUCAUUUUUUUAGACAUGCCUGAAGUUCUGACAGUACAAACAAACAUUUGUGUUCUGUUGUUUUCUUAUCCAUCUAUUAAUUUACUCAUUUAACCCAUCAUAUAUGCAUUUUAUUUUUGUGUCUAAUUUUAAUAUUUUGUUGGUUCUGUAUUGUCAUCAAUAGUAGUUUUAGGUCUCCAGUGGUCUCCAUCUCAAGGAUUUAAAUCCAGUAGAAACGCCCUUUAAUGCAACUACACAUGUUCACUUUUCACAGGUGGUGAAUCAGGUUUAGGGGUUCAGACACGGGUAAGGAUCCUACAGCUCAUUUCACAUUGGGACACUUGAUGACUAAUUUUCCUGUGACCACAAACAAUCAUGCAGCUGCAGAUCUAACACUUUAAUGAUGCAAUAAAAUUCACUUACCUGCAAAGUUUCUUAACAGUGAGAUGACUACAAACACACAGACAACAUAAAAUUAUACAAUAUCCAAAACAGAUUUAUACUACAAAAAAAUAAAAAACCUUUUAUCAUCGACCCUCAUGUUGUUCCACCACCGUAACACCUUCGUUCAUCUUUUGAAAAAUAAAUGAGGAUCUGUUUGUUGAAGUUGUGCUUUGAAUGUUUUUGUAGUCUUCAAGUCUUGUCUUUACUCUGUAUUUCUGAAGAGAAAACAGCAUUGACAUGAUUCAAUUAUUUAUUAACUUCAGGAAUAAUAUAUGCAAAUACACCUCAUUAUUUUCAACUAUAAGC
This is a long non-coding RNA of Triplophysa dalaica, 1179 nucleotides long. RefSeq lists it as uncharacterized. NCBI's taxonomy places the organism in Eukaryota, Metazoa, Chordata, Actinopteri, Cypriniformes, Nemacheilidae. The record is from RefSeq and is a predicted model, not a curated record. The transcript has 3 exons.